UCUACAUCCCAGAUGUUUCCCCACUUGCUUGUCUGUUUUUAAUAAGCUGGAGAUGAAGUUGAAGGAUGAUCUGGCUGAGCAGGGAGUUGCUAUGAGCAGGGGAAGGAUGAGAGCUGAUUUAUAUUUCAGAAACAGCACUCUGCCUCUAUGUGGAUUGAAGAGGGGUAAUACUAGACCUAGAAGAAAUAAGUCUUCUUUAUCACUCUUUUCUAGUACUUAGGAAGUAUGCCAGGCAUAUGCUUAUUGAACUAAUUUUUUAACAAACGUGAUCCCCAUCUUGGCAGCACCUGCUCCCUGGCAUGAAAGAUGGAGCAUUGAUAACAUGGUGAAAAGUAGGUGCUGGCCUCACAUUACUCUAUGGGAGCAGCAACAGGCAAGAGACAAGGCAGUUCCACAGGGAUACACAGAAGCUACUCACAUGUUCCUCCUGUUGUCUACAGUCACGGGAAGAAAGCUAAGAGGAAUCUAAAGGAACAGAAACAUGCCAAGUGUGAAGCACAGGCACCUCCAGACCUGUAACAGUGUGGGAUUAGCUGGUACUAUUGGGAGCAGCUCUGGGCUCUGAGCCUGAUACAGAAUCCCCAAGUUUCUCUAAUGAGAGGGUGUUUUUAUUUUCCUCAAACUCUUAUACUCACUGAUGGGGAUGGUGGUGCCGGGCAGACGAGGUGGUGACAUGAGUUGUUUGGGGACUGAGAAGUCGAGUCACUGAUGGUUGGGAGGGAUUUGGAAGACACACGUGGGGAACAUGCCUGUGGAGAGCUCCAUGGAUGUGAAAGGGGAAGGGGUCUGGCAGGGGCAGUCUCACGGGUCUACUGAGAGG
Molecule: long non-coding RNA, 820 nt
Filed under: Homo sapiens (human)
Lineage: Eukaryota; Metazoa; Chordata; Mammalia; Primates; Hominidae
Description: HSALNT0016943
Source: RNAcentral